UACCUUGGAAACCUAGCGCUUUGUGUCUAUACCAUUUGCAUUUAAUUAGAGUGACAAGCACAGUACUGAUCCCAUCUUGGAGACUUCCCCAGGCCAUUUGCUCAAGGCUGUUCAGUUUGUCAGUGAGAUACAGGACUUGCACCUCACUGUUCUAAUUUCCAGAGAGGACAAUUGCUCCAGACCCUCCAGAAGGGCAGUUCAAGGAGUAUCUUGAAGAGAUCUAGUUGAUGAGAAUGAAACGGAUGCUGAAUACUUGAUGUCCAGAGAUAGCUGUUCUUCAAGACACAGUUGAUUUCAACAAGGAUGGUACUAGCUGAUGUCUUGAAUAACCCCUUGAAAGGACAGACAGGGUAAGCUCCUGACUGAAAGAGAACUCCGCAGUUCUUCCUGAAUGUCAGAAAGAAGAUUGGUGUGUGGAAGAUCACGUCCUUAAAGCAUUAGACAAAACUACAACACAGCAAAAUCUAGGUCUGGAUUAUGUGCAAAUCAGUUUCCCAAUAAAAAGGUAAAAAAGGAAAGCUUGUCAAGCCCAGAUAAAGCAGGGAGUGUUAUUGCAAGAUGAACAACUAAGGCAAGAUCCUGACUAAAGUGACAGAGAAAGCAUACAGAGUGGUUGCAGUAGUAGAUUUGCAAUCUAGCUAGGAACUUGGUUUUUUGUUAAGUAUCAGAAAGCAGAGUCAGAGGAAAAAAUGUUAAAAAAUGAUACCUAAAAGUCUUUAGGAAACACCAAGCAUGAAAUGUAAUGGCUGCUUUGAAUAAGUAGUUAAGAUUCCUGAACAUGGAAACAAAGAACAACCACUCAACCC
This is a long non-coding RNA of Harpia harpyja (harpy eagle), 806 nucleotides long. RefSeq lists it as uncharacterized. The transcript has 4 exons. NCBI's taxonomy places the organism in Eukaryota, Metazoa, Chordata, Aves, Accipitriformes, Accipitridae. The record is from RefSeq and is a predicted model, not a curated record.